AUUGAACGCUGGCGGCAGGCCUAACACAUGCAAGUCGAACGAGUGGCGGAGGGGUGAGUAAUGUCUAGGAACCUGUGCGAUGGAGGGGGGUAAAUACUGGAAAAGGGAGCUAAUACCGCAUACCCUCGGAUGUGCCCAGAUGGGAUUAGCUAGUAGGUGGGGUAACGGCUCACCUAGGCGACGAGCCCUAGAUGGUCUGAGAGGAUGACCAGCCACACUGGAACUGAGACACGGUCCAGACUCCUACGGGAGGCAGCAGUGGGGAAUAUUGCACAAUGGGCGCAAGCCUGAUGCAGCCAUGCCGCGUGUAUGAAGAAGGCCUUCGGGUUGUAAAGUACUUUCAGCGAGGAGGCGUUACUCGCAGAAGAAGCACCGGCUAACUCCGUGCCAGCAGCCGCGGUAAUAC
This 406-nucleotide ribosomal RNA is filed under the name uncultured bacterium. Its description in RNAcentral is "partial 16S ribosomal RNA". It matches the Rfam family "Bacterial small subunit ribosomal RNA", at positions 30 to 526 of the family's 1533-position model. The record is from RNAcentral.